RNAcentral lists this ribosomal RNA (958 nucleotides) under Edwardsiella tarda. Its description in RNAcentral is "bacterial SSU rRNA". It matches the Rfam family "Bacterial small subunit ribosomal RNA", at positions 33 to 980 of the family's 1533-position model. Lineage: Bacteria; Pseudomonadati; Pseudomonadota; Gammaproteobacteria; Enterobacterales; Hafniaceae. The record is from RNAcentral.
ACGGGGCGGCGGCUUACCAUGCAAGUCGAGCGGUAGCAGGGAGAAAGCUUGCUUUCUCCGCUGACGAGCGGCGGACGGGUGAGUAAUGUCUGGGGAUCUGCCUGAUGGAGGGGGAUAACUACUGGAAACGGUAGCUAAUACCGCAUAACGUCGCAAGACCAAAGUGGGGGACCUUCGGGCCUCAUGCCCUCAGAUGAACCCAGAUGGGAUUAGCUAGUAGGUGAGGUAAUGGCUCACCUAGGCGACGAUCCCUAGCUGGUCUGAGAGGAUGACCAGCCACACUGGAACUGAGACACGGUCCAGACUCCUACGGGAGGCAGCAGUGGGGAAUAUUGCACAAUGGGCGCAAGCCUGAUGCACCCAUGCCGCGUGUAUGAAAAAGGCCUUCGGGUUGUAAAGUACUUUCAGUAGGGAGGAAGGUGUGCGUGUUAAUAGCACGUGCAAUUGACGUUACCUACAGAAGAAGCACCGGCUAACUCCGUGCCAGCAGCCGCGGUAAUACGGAGGGUGCAAGCGUUAAUCGGAAUUACUGGGCGUAAAGCGCACGCAGGCGGUUUGUUAAGUUGGAUGUGAAAUCCCCGGGCUUAACCUGGGAACUGCAUCCAAGACUGGCAAGCUAGAGUCUCGUAGAGGGAGGUAGAAUUCCAUGUGUAGCGGUGAAAUGCGUAGAGAUCUGGAAGAAUACCGGUGGCGAACGCGGUCUCCUGGACGAAGACUGACGCUCAUGUGCGAAAGCGUGGGGAGCAAACAGGAUUAUAUACUCUGAUACUCCACGCUGUAAACGAUGUCGAUUUGGAGGUUGUGCCCUUGACGCGUGCUCUCCGAAGCUAACGCGUUAAAUCGACCGCCUUGGUGAGUACGCCGUACGGUUACAUCUCAUAUGAAUUUGACGGUGGCUCGUACUAGUCUGUAGAACAUGUGUUUAUUCGAUGCCACCGAGAAAUAACUUUACCUACUC